This 253-nucleotide ribosomal RNA is filed under the name uncultured bacterium. Its description in RNAcentral is "partial 16S ribosomal RNA". It matches the Rfam family "Bacterial small subunit ribosomal RNA", at positions 524 to 776 of the family's 1533-position model. The record is from RNAcentral.
UACGGGGGGGGUAAGCGUUGUUCGGAAUUACUGGGCGUAAAGGGCUCGUAGGCGGCCAACUAAGUCAGACGUGAAAUCCCUCAGCUUAACUGGGGAACUGCGUCUGAUACUGGAUGGCUUGAGUUUGGGAGAGGGACGCGGAAUUCCAGGUGUAGCGGUGAAAUGCGUAGAUAUCUGGAGGAACACCGGUGGCGAAGGCGGCGUCCUGGACCAACACUGACACUGAGGAGCGAAAGCCAGGGGAGCAAACGGG